UCACUCCAGUCUCGGGAAUAGCGCGC
RNAcentral lists this non-coding RNA (26 nucleotides) under Mus musculus (house mouse). Lineage: Eukaryota; Metazoa; Chordata; Mammalia; Rodentia; Muridae. The record is from RNAcentral.